UACAGAGGGGGCAAGCGUUGUUCGGAAUUACUGGGCGUAAAGGGCGCGUAGGCGGCCUGGCAAGUCGGGUGUGAAAGCCCUGGGCUCAACCUAGGAAGUGCACUCGAAACUGCCUCGCUUGAAUGCCGGAGAGGAAAGCGGAAUUCUCGGUGUAGAGGUGAAAUUCGUAGAUAUCGAGAGGAACACCGGUGGCGAAGGCGGCUUUCUGGACGGUGAUUGACGCUGAGACGCGAAAGCGUGGGGAGCAAACAGG
This 253-nucleotide ribosomal RNA is filed under the name uncultured bacterium. RNAcentral's name for it is "partial 16S ribosomal RNA". It matches the Rfam family "Bacterial small subunit ribosomal RNA", at positions 524 to 776 of the family's 1533-position model. The record is from RNAcentral.